Molecule: non-coding RNA, 21 nt
Organism: Caenorhabditis elegans
Lineage: Eukaryota; Metazoa; Nematoda; Chromadorea; Rhabditida; Rhabditidae
Source: Ensembl
UAUUAUUUACUACGAGGAUGA